AUAAAAACUUCCAUAAAACUCUGAACACCAAGGCUCAGAAACUUGAAUUGAAUACAGAACCCUGAGCUCCUUCUUUGAGAUUUGUCUGAAUUGUCUGGGCUCCCAGGCCACAUCAGAGAGACCAGCACCCUGUUCUUUCCAGGUUGGCAGCUGAGAUCUGGCCUGCAUGCACAGAAUACUAUGAGCAACAGCUUAAAACACAAAAGUGAGAUGAUGGAUGUCCUUAUAGAAGACAGAAAAGCAGAAGGCACACACAGACACAUGUUGAAGAGGCAGAGAUUGAAUUGAUGAAGCCACAAGCCAAAAACACCAAGGACACUCAUCAUUGGAUUUAAGCCCCACCAUAAUCUAUGAUGAUUUCACUUCACCUUUAUCAUAUCUGCAAAGACUCUUAUCCCAAAUAAGGUCAUAUUCUGAGGUUCUGGGUGGAUAUAGCUUUUGAGGGAGCAUCAAUCAAUAUGCUACAGUGCUGGUUAAAACAUCCAAUACCACUAGCAAAGGAAUUGUUUAUAUAAAAAAAUUCCUUCAGUGUACUCUGAGAAGGCAGCUGAGUGUCAAAAUUAAUAAAAGGAACUAUAUUAGAGCUGGGAGGCCAGAAUGGGAAGCUUCACACACAUACCACUCCAUGGCAAUACAAAUCUUAAUAGGAAGACACCUGCUUUGCAUCUCUGGCUGAAAAUGACCCUACUUUACCCACUGCCAGCAUGAGGAAGAAAGAUGUUUUUCUCCUUGUUUGGCAACAGCACAACAAACGUGACAUUGUCACAACUCAGCCAAUGAAAAGUCACUAUACUUCAGUGGACUUAUUGUAACAGCCCAUCCCAACAUCUUUUUUUCUGUAAAAGGUUUCCUCUCCUUUAUAGGACUUGCAUGUGGUUCACCAUAAUUGCAGUUCUUUGCUGCCCCCCCCCCAAUAAACUCAUUUUUGCUGG
Bos taurus (domestic cattle) is the source of this 932-nucleotide long non-coding RNA. The record is from Ensembl. Lineage: Eukaryota; Metazoa; Chordata; Mammalia; Artiodactyla; Bovidae.